This 253-nucleotide ribosomal RNA is filed under the name uncultured bacterium. Its description in RNAcentral is "partial 16S ribosomal RNA". It matches the Rfam family "Bacterial small subunit ribosomal RNA", at positions 524 to 776 of the family's 1533-position model. The record is from RNAcentral.
UACAGAGGGGGCCAGCGUUAUUCGGAAUUAUUGGGCGUAAAGGGCGCGUAGGCGGCUUUGCGUGUCUUUCGUGAAAUCCCUCGGCUCAACUGAGGACGUGCGGAAGAAACUGCAGGGCUGGAGUCCGGGAGAGGAGGGUGGAAUUCCUGGUGUAGCGGUGAAAUGCGCAGAUAUCAGGAAGAACACCCGUGGCGAAGGCGGUUCUCUGGGACGGUACUGACGCUGAGACGCGAAAGCGUGGGGAGCGAACAGG